This 478-nucleotide ribosomal RNA is filed under the name uncultured bacterium. RNAcentral's name for it is "SSU rRNA". It matches the Rfam family "Bacterial small subunit ribosomal RNA", at positions 26 to 518 of the family's 1533-position model. The record is from RNAcentral.
AGGACGAACGCUGGCGGCGUGCCUAACACAUGCAAGUGGAGCGACGAACCGGGCUUCGGCCCGGGGCAAAGCCGCGAACGGGUGAGUAACACGUGAGCAACCUGCCCUUAGCUCCGGGAUAGCUCCGGGAAACCGGAAUUAAUACCGGAUAUGACCUAGGCCGACAUCGGCUGUGGUGGAAAGUUUUUCGGCUGGGGAUGGACUCGCGGCCUAUCAGCUUGUUGGUGGGGUAAUGGCCUACCAAGGCGACGACGGGUAGCCGGCCUGAGAGGGCGACCGGCCACACUGGGACUGAGACACGGCCCAGACUCCUACGGGAGGCAGCAGUGGGGAAUCUUGCGCAAUGGGCGAAAGCCUGACGCAGCGACGCCGCGUGGGGGAUGAAGGCCUUCGGGUUGUAAACCCCUUUCAGCAGGGACGAAGCGAAAGUGACGGUACCUGCAGAAGAAGCGCCGGCUAACUACGUGCCAGCAGCCGC